UCAACCAAAAACCAUCGCCACAAAUCCGGGAGCUCCGUCCCACCUUUUGAUCUCGUGGCCCCCCGAUUCCUCCGAUACCGCCCUCCUCCUUUUCAAACCGAUUCGUUCGAGGAUGUUCGGUCGUCUUUCCUAUUAGCUAUUUAUACACGCGCUCGCCAGCCCUCGAAGCUCUCCUUCUCCAAGCUCUGCUCCAUGAUCGAGAACCGCCUAUUCGAACAAAACCAUUCCGCACGGCGACUCGUUUUCUCGGAUAAUCGAUCCAGAAUUAGGCUGGACAGAUGAUCGGGCAAGCAGGCGGCCACCAGCCGACGGCGGGUCGGGAUCAGAAGAAGUGCAAGUUCGAGGCCGUGUUCAAGUCGAUGCAGCAGGCGCGGCCUGCCACGGCAGGGCCAGUCGGCGGCAGCGGUGCAGCGCAGCCGAAGAAGAGCGAGAGGGAGGCGAACACGGCGGACGCAGCGGAGGAGGAGAGGAGGAGGAGAGAGAGGAUGGAGUUCCUGCUGCAGUUGGUCUGCUGGGGACCUGAUUAGAGAUUUCGCAUCAAGCGAAGCGAAGCGAGCGUUUGUGCUUUCUCAGAUGGUGAUCCUAGAAUCUGUAGACCGAAUACGUCACAAUAUGUAUACUUAUUAAUAUCGUUCUCUAUUUUCAAUAUAUAUACACGAAAUGAUUUGAUUUCAAUGAUUAUAUACGUAUUCAUACAAAUUGAAGAGCGCGGGAUUCACACGGACCCGGUUGAUAUGGGCCGGGCUGAGCCCGCUAACGAGACAUGAGCCCAAUAGCAAUGGCCCAACGCCCACGUGGACCAGC
This 804-nucleotide long non-coding RNA is filed under the name Eucalyptus grandis. RNAcentral describes it as "long non-coding RNA (EGRA_LNC003591)". Lineage: Eukaryota; Viridiplantae; Streptophyta; Magnoliopsida; Myrtales; Myrtaceae. The record is from RNAcentral.